RNAcentral lists this transfer RNA (62 nucleotides) under Ruditapes variegatus. RNAcentral describes it as "tRNA-Val". Lineage: Eukaryota; Metazoa; Mollusca; Bivalvia; Venerida; Veneridae. The record is from RNAcentral. RNAcentral also lists the same sequence under 1 other name.
CAGGAGAUAGCAUAUAAAGUGUGCUUUGCUUACACCAAAGAGGAGAUGAGUAUCUUUCCUGU